UACGUAGGCAGCAAGCGUUGUUCGGAAUUACUGGGCGUAAAGAGUGUGUAGGCGGUGUUCUAAGUUCGGUGUGAAAUCUCCCGGCUCAACUGGGAGGGUGCGCCGAAAACUGGGAUGCUCGAGCGUGGGAGAGGAAAGCGGAAUUCCUGGUGUAGCGGUGAAAUGCGUAGAUAUCAAGCGGAACACCAGUGGCGAAGGCGAGUCCCUGGACAACUCCUGACACUGAGGCACGAAAGCUAGGGGAGCAAACAGG
Molecule: ribosomal RNA, 253 nt
Filed under: uncultured bacterium
Lineage: Bacteria
Description: partial 16S ribosomal RNA
Rfam family: Bacterial small subunit ribosomal RNA
Source: RNAcentral